GAACAUAUAAACCAACUACCAAGUGAAGAAGCUAAUGGAAAUUCAGCACCCAUAAGGGUUGGCAGAUUCAGGCCACAUUGGCAUAUUACUCACUGGUUGGAUGAAAUUAGAAUAAGUUAACUUUUUCUAACACUCAAAGUAGUAGCAGGAAUAUUGAUGAACCCAUAAGGGUUGGCAGAUUCAGGCCACAUUGGCAUAUUACUCACUGGUUGGAUGAAAUUAGAAUAAGUUAACAAGUAUGUCUCUUUUUUGUAUGAGUUAUCAAUGAAGUCAAUUGGUUCAACUUGUCAUAAUACAUUGCACAUAUAGCAUGUGGACAUGGUAUUCCCUUUAGCAUCCAAGAUAUGCAACUACAAACCUGCUUUCUAAGGCACACAGUGUGUUGCUUACCAUCAUCCAUGACUUCAUAUCUUGUUUGUCCAUUAAACUCAAUGGUACGUGUCAUUGGUUUUUCAAUAUUGUCCUCCAAUAUCUAUAAAGACAUUGGAGAUAUGUUGCUGCUCCAUGUGCUUGCGAAUGCCCUUAACUUGCCUAUUCUUGUCAUGAUCUUGACUCUAAUCUCCUCAAGCAUGCCAAUGAUAGUGUGCCUUGCAGCCAAGAUCCAAGCAUUAAAACUCUCAGACAUGUUAUUAUCCAUUGCAUCACAUUUGACUUAACAGUUGAAAUACACGUUGCACCAAUACUCCUUGUCAUAGUAUAGUAGAUCAUCCACUAUGUUUUUACCAAGCAUUGAUAGUGUUUUCAGAUAUAUUUUUUAAAAUCCAGCUUCAUAAGUGCUUGGCACACUUCCAGAAUAAUAUCCUCCUUUGGGAGCCCUCUCUACUUCUUUGACCAAUUAGCUAAGAUGUGCCUAGCACACAUCCUUUGCUCACAAGCUGAAAAUAAUUC
RNAcentral lists this long non-coding RNA (888 nucleotides) under Nicotiana benthamiana. RNAcentral's name for it is "long non-coding RNA (NBEN_LNC017399)". The record is from RNAcentral. Lineage: Eukaryota; Viridiplantae; Streptophyta; Magnoliopsida; Solanales; Solanaceae.